AUGCUCGCUUUAGUAGCACGUAUACUAACAUUGGAACGAUAGAAGAUUAGCACGGUCCCUGUGCAAGGAUGACACGCAAAUUCGUGAAGUGUUCCAUAUUAAA
Pipistrellus kuhlii (Kuhl's pipistrelle) is the source of this 103-nucleotide small nuclear RNA. NCBI's taxonomy places the organism in Eukaryota, Metazoa, Chordata, Mammalia, Chiroptera, Vespertilionidae. The record is from RefSeq and is a predicted model, not a curated record.